GAUGAACGCUAGCGGCAGGCUUAACACAUGCAAGUCGAGGGGUAUGCCGAUUUAUCGGCAGAGACCGGCGCACGGGUGCGUAACGCGUAUGCAAUCUACCUUUCACAGAGGGAUAGCCCAGAGAAAUUUGGAUUAAUACCUCAUAGUAUAGCAAUUUCGCAUGAAACCACUAUUAAAGUUCCAACGGUGAAAGAUGAGCAUGCGUCCCAUUAGCUAGUUGGUAAGGUAACGGCUUACCAAGGCUACGAUGGGUAGGGGUCCUGAGAGGGACGAUCCCCCACACUGGUACUGAGACACGGACCAGACUCCUACGGGAGGCAGCAGUGAGGAAUAUGGACAAUGGGCGCAAGCCUGAUCCAGCCAUGCCGCGUGCAGGA
RNAcentral lists this ribosomal RNA (377 nucleotides) under uncultured bacterium. RNAcentral describes it as "bacterial SSU rRNA". It matches the Rfam family "Bacterial small subunit ribosomal RNA", at positions 28 to 408 of the family's 1533-position model. The record is from RNAcentral.